UUUCCAAUUGAAAUUCUGUUAUUGCCAAAAAUUCAAAGCAUUGACAUUUCAUUAAACUUCCAACUUAUGGGUCAGUUGCCAGAAUUUCCAGCAAACAAUGCUUUACAGAGUUUGUCGCUUUUUUAUACAAAUUUCAGUGGAAAACUACCUGAAUCGAUUGGUAAUCUUAAGUUCCUGACAAACUUAGAGCUUUAUGAUUGCAAUUUUUUUGGACCCAUUCCAUCGUCAAUUGCAAAUCUUAGUCACCUGGUCAACCUAUAUCUAGGAGGGAACAGGCUUUCUGAUUCAAUACAUUCUUCUUUAUUUACUCUUCCAUCGUUAAAGACCUUGUAUCUUGGAGAAAAUCAAUUGGUUGGGAAAAUUGAUGAGUUCCCCAAUGCAUCUUCUUCUUUGAUUCAAGAAUUAGAUAUAGGAAAUAAUUAUUUAACAGGACCAAUCCCAAAGUCAAUCCUUCAACUUCCAAGGCUUGAAGUGCUUGAGAUCGGAGAAAAUAGCUUCAGUUCCCUGAAGCUUGACAUGUUUGUCCAACUUAAGAACUUAAAGGAUCUCGACUUAUCCAAUGUAAGCUUGUUAAUUGAAAGCGACAACAGAAGUCUUACUUUUCCCCAAUUAGAGAGCCUAAGCCUAAGGUCAUGCAACCUUACUGAAUUUCCAGAAUUCAUUAAAAGGCAAGACAAGUUGGUUGACUUAGAUCUUUCUAACAAUCAUAUCCAUGGUGUUGUGCCUAAUUGGUUGUGGAAGAGCAGUCUUUCAUCCUUACACCUUUCUUUCAAUGUGAUUGAUUUUCCCAAAAAACUUCCUCUAAAUGAUGCAAACUUCUCUUUCCCAAUGUUGAGGCGAUUGAAUCUGGAAUCUUGUAACAUAAGCGCAUUUCCGGAGUUCUUAAAGAGUCAAGAAAAUUUAGAAGAACUCGACCUUUCAAAUAAUAAAAUAAGUGGUGCAAUACCAAACUGGGUGUGGAAGAAAAGUUUGCGGUAUCUGUAUCUUGCUAAUAACCAUCUCUCAUCUUUGGACCAACUUUUACCCAAUCAGAGUUCAACUUCUUCACAAACCUCCUCGACUAGACCUAUUUGCAAUUUGAGUCAAAUUAAGGUUUUCAAUGCACCUCAUAACAAUUUGAGCGGCACGAUUCCAAAUUGCUUAGGCAAAAUGAAUGAUCUCUAUUUGUUGGAUCUGCAAGGAAAUAACUUCAGUGGAAUGUUACCAAAAUUUUCAAAAGCAACCCAAUUAUCUAUUCUCAAAGUUAGUGAGAAUAGAUUGGAAGGGAAGUUGCCUAGAUCAUUAGUGGAAUGCACUCUGCUUGAAGUUUUGGACGUGGGAAACAACAUGAUGAAUGAUACAUUCCCUUUUUGGUUGCAGAAAUUGCCUUACUUGACGGUUCUAAUAUUGCGGGAAAACAGAUUUUAUGGUCAAAUUAAACAUUUCAAACAUAAAUUUGUUUUCCCAAAUUUGGAUGUGUUGGACAUUGCUUCAAACCAGUUUUCUGGUGAACUAUCCAUUAAUUUCCUUCAAGCCACUCUUACUUGUCUUGACCUUUCCAGCAAUAGUUUCCAUGGGAGAAUACCAGAAGAAAUAAAAAUGCUGAGGUCACUCAAAGUGCUAAACUUGUCCUAUAAUAGCUUCUCCGGUGAAAUCCCAGUAGCAGUUCAAAACCUAAAAGAUCUGGAGUCUUUGGAUCUGUCACAGAAUGAGCUAUCAGGGAAGAUUCCUCCACAGCUUACAACUCUAACUUUCCUAGAGGCACUGAACUUGUCUUACAACCCACUUGAAGGGAGCAUACCGCAAGGCAACCAGUUCAGUACAUUUUCAAAUGAUUCUUAUCGUGGGAAUCCAAAAUUAUGCGGUCAACCAUUGUCCAAGAAAUGCAAUGAAGACGGUCUUCCAGUGCCACCGCCUCCAGGGGAAGAGGAACAGUCAUGGUUAUAUGCUUUGUCAACUUGGAAAAUUGUUUUGAUAGGUUAUGGUAGUGGUUUGGUCGCUGGGCUAUGUAUCGGAUAUACAGUGUUGAAUGAGUUGGGAAACAAAUGGGUUGACAAGUUCAAAAAACAUGGGAAAAGAAACAGAAGAAGAUCUAGGUGACUGGGUCGGAAUUCAUGUAUUAAAGUCAACAGGUAAACAUUUCCUUUUGAAACUAUAGUCUUUAUAUUUUGAAAAGAUUGAUGUUACAAACUAAUUUUGGAUCAUACAACAUUGCAAUUCCUUAAUUUAAGCAGCAGGAGUGGUGACACAGUGAUUUUGUUUUUCCUACGCAAUAUUCCCAUAUUUGUAUGCUUAUGAGAAGUUAUAUUCUUGGUGGUUUGACUUGUACGUUUCUUAUUUUGUCACAGGGAAAUGACCUCUGUCCUUCUAAGCUUCAAGUCAUUGCAUGUAAUUGGUGGCAAUGAAUCAUUUUUAAGUAGAAAACCACGCAAAGCAUGAUAAAUUUUGUCUUUUUUUGUUUGGGUUUUUGUGCUAUACAUUUUAUCAAACACAUGUUUGGCUUUAGGCUCGGGUGUAAUGGGUAGACCUAUUGGUCCGGGUUUUAGUGCAGUCUGACAUUUGUUUUGUACAAAUAAUUUAUUUAUCUUUUAAUAACAGUUUUAUUACUUUAAAAAUAAGUAAAUAAAAUAUAAUGAAAAAUACGAUAUCUUAAAAUAUGGUCUGUUUUCCGGAGUUGACAAAUAAUUAAAACACUAUAAAUAUGGUAGCUUUUUCAAAUGAUUCUCCCAUUAUGAAACAUUUAAACGAAUUUACGGAAAUGAAAUAUUUAUUUACAAGAAAUAAAAAUUAGCCAUGUUAUGCAUAUGAAAAACAAGAUAAUUGCAAGUGAAAUGAGAAGCUUCAUAUUCUAAUUUUCAGGCCAACAGUCUGAGAAGAAAGCACAGAUUGGCAGAACAAAAGUUGAGAAAAGGAGAAGCAUAUGGUGAAAAGGUUAAUCCCAAAACCAAUAUGUUGCACUCGACGUUCUCUUACAUGUAGUUUAUAUCAUACGCGGAUGGUUGGAUCUUAUUAUCUUAGGAUUUAGUUUACCCAACUGUGAACUUCUGCUUUAAAUACAAUAAUCCUAUUCUAAAUUGGUAUUGGGAUUAGUUUAUUUAUUCUUUCAAUGAUAGUUUUAUUACUUUAAAAAAAUACCCUUCAAUUAAACUUUGUAUGUAAUAAUAUGAUAGUAAUAAUUAAAAGAUAAUGAAAGAAAUUAUGUCUUACAGUCUAGUAAAGGCCAACAAUGUGUCACACUAUCAUUACAAAGUACACAUACUUUGUAGGGAAAUUGAUCCAAUGAAACAGAGGAUUAAACUAGUUUCCAUGCAGGGAAGAAUUGGUAUGCUACAAUACUAAGAAAAAUACUAAUUAAUAACAAAAAAAAUGGUAAUGGAAUCACCCUUGUUAUUGGGCUUAUGAAUUUCAUUGAUUACGACGUGAUAACUGAUGAAUUCUCUUAACAUAUGGGCUAAUCUGGCGGUGGCGGUGCUAACCUCCUUUCGUAUUUUUAUUGGAUACUCCUAUAUAGGAGCUUGGAGAGAAGGAGGACGUGCUCCUCAUAGAGCUGCGUUGCCAUGGCUGUGCCGAGGAAUGUACUGCUUCAGGCGGUUAUUUGCCAGUGUCCUUGUGCAGGUAGCUGGCCAUUUGUGGAGACCACAAAAAAUAAAAAUUAGCCGUGUUUUGCACGAAUAAAUUUUUUUCAUAUUUUAGAUUUAAAUAAUUAUAUAUUCUUUAAUCUCAUUGGUUUCAAUUGGUUUGAUAAAUUUUGAAAUAAAAAAAAUAAAAAACCUUUUGGAAUUGGAAUUAAUUUUUUCAAAGAAUUGGAAUUGGUUUGGUAAACAUUGUUUUCAUGCAGAAAGAUUUAGACAUUUGCAUGCAAUGUCAAAGGCUAAGACUAAGUCUAUGAAUAUAUUGAAAUUAAUAUGAUUAAUAAGACCAAUAAAAUCUCAUAAUUCAGAACUAUGGGGCAUUCUGGAUGGUCUUGGACCAGGUUUGACCAACGUAAAGGCUCUUUAUUCCCUUGUUUCACUUUUUCUUCCUUUCUUCUUUCUCUUCUCAUCCUCUCUUUCUCAAUCUCAUCUCCCAAGCCAACGCUUUGAUGACCAGAUAUCUCCUCCCUUGCAAUUGCAACAUCAUCUUUACUAUAAAUAUAGUAGCUUAUCCAAAUGAUUCACGAAACAUUUAAACGAAUUUAUAGAAAUUAAUACUUAUUUAAAAUAUUUACAAGAAAUAAAAAUUAGCACAUGAAGAAAAAAGAAAGGGAAAAAAAAUCCAUAUUUUAGAUUUAAUAGACUAUAUGUCCUAUGAUUGCGUUUUAAUUGGUAUGAUAAACUAUUUUCGACCAAAGGUCCAUCAAUUGAGCUGAAUUUUAUAUAUGCUGGCCUUCUCAUUGUGGCUAAAAAGGUAGUAAUGGUUGAAGCAUGCAAAGCCUGUUAUAGUAUAGUCCAUGGAGCACUGAUUGUGGGCAGUAGCGGUCGAAGCAUGCAAAAUUAUUGACAUUAUCCUAAACUUUUGUAAAACCAGAACUUAGAAGUGAAAUUCAAUACAAAAUUUCAAUUUUCAAAAUUCAGCAGCCUAUGGCCCGGUGUCGUUGGAUUCAUGUUGUCUGGGAAAUUUCGAGACGGUGUAACAGAAACCAAUCUGGUUUUGACUCUAACGCCAAUGUUGAGGAAACAUGGUCAUGGUGGUGUUGGCGAAUUUAUUGAGUAUUAUGGUUAGGUCUAUGGUCAUAAAUCUUGACAACGGAAUGCUUUACAAUCAAUAAUAUUGGUUUUAAUGUGCGUAUAGGAGAAGGUGUGACUGAUUAGGUAGAUGACAUGUUUUUGGUGCUGAGUAGGGUAGGCAACCACUUCAACCAUUAUUUCAAGUGAAGUUAGAAUAAAAAUAUCCGUUGAAUUAUCAUCUUUGUUCAUUCUACGUGUAAUCAUGGCUCUAAUGAGGUUUAAAGGACAUUAUUAUUGCUAUAAUUUUAUUUUUAAUGAUUUAAAUUUAAGAAAAUUAAAAUUAGAAAAUUAUUUAUAUAGAAUAAAGAGCCGACAAGAAGAUUGAAACCCGGCAUUAAUAAGAAGAAUAAGAGUUCAACAAAGUGGUUCAACAUAGUUUUCAUGCAUUAAUGAUAUGGCAAAAAGACUUUUAACAUUUGCAUCUGCAUGCAAUGCCAACCACUAAGAUUAAAGCCAAUAAUAUCUCAUAUUAUCAUUUUUUUAUAAGUACAAAGUACUAAAAUUUUAUUGUAUCAACAAUAAUGUUUAUAUAUGUUCAAGGAAUCAAUUUUAUAUCAUUUUUGGGUCUUAUACCAAUUUUUACUUAAAAAAUUCAAUAGUAAAUUGUUUUAUUAAAAAAAUUACCAUUAUUUCUUUUUUUUUAAUGACCUUUCUUAAUCAAAUUGGUCCUACAUCAUCAUCAUCAUCAUUAUUGGCAUGCAGUUAUAAAGACUUAGAAUUUUGCAUGCAUAUCAAAGACUUAGAAAUUUCCACUACUUGAUAUUUUAAUGACUUGAAUUAAACAAAGUGGUUGAACAUUACUUUCAUGCAAUUACGGGUGAGUGUUCGAUUGAAUGGAAUCGAAUCGAAUCGAAUGGAAAAAUUUCGAGUUAAUCAAGUUGACGAAUCAUAUUUUAUCGUCCUAAUUUAAUUUGAAAUUUUCUGGAAUCAAGUCGAAUGAGAUGGAAUUCGUUCGAGUCAAAUUUUAAAAAAAAUUUGGGUCGUUGUAACCUUUGUCACCCACCGUAAUAAAAUUUGUCUACCAUAAUCAAAUUUUUUAUUAACUUACAUCACCUCAUAAUUUAUAUUUUAAUCUUUUAUAUAUGGGUUAGCUUCUUUGCUUGCUUAGUUGUUUCAAUUAUCUUCAGAUUCUUGUCACUAUGUAUUUUGGAAUUAAAAAAAUAUAUUAAAUGUAAAAAUGUGAUUUUUUUAAUAAAAGUUAUUUUAAAGAUAAAAUGUGAAAUUGAUACCAACAUAAAAUUUUAACAUGAAUAUUUUAUGGCAUCAUUAAUAAUUCAAAUUUAAUAUAAAUAUUCAAUAUGACUAAACAAUUUAAUAAUAUAAAUAAUAUAAAAUGUGAAAUUUAAUUUAAUAAUAUAAAUAGCAGAUAUAAAUAAAAGUAUUACUAUUUAUGUUUAAGGGAUUUUUUUGGAUAAUUUUAAUUUUUUUAUUUAGGAGUAAAGGGUGAGAAGUAAAAGUUUGAGGGAAAGUAAAUGAGCUGGAUAUAGAAUGCUGGAUGAGUUGGGAAACAAAUGGGUUGAUAAGUUCAAAAAGUGUGGGAAAAGAAAUAGAAGAAGAUGUAGGUGACUCCCAUCAGAAUUCUUGUUUCAAAAUUAGCCGGUAGGCAUUAUUUAUUUAUUUUGAAUAUAUAUAUAUAUAUAUAAGAAACAAAAAAAGGAAAAAAUCAAAACUUUCUUACCUUUUUGGACAGUGAUCGGUAGAUCUAAGCUUGGGAGGCCGAUAGAGAGACAAAAGAAAAAAAGAAAAUUUUUAUUUUUUCUGGCCAACGUGAACGACGGCGCCGUCAGCGGUCAACAAACUCUUUAAUCCUAUUUGGUUUGAAAAAAUAGAUAUAUUUUGGAAGUAGUUUUUUGAAAGAAAUGAAAAGCGUCCAACACAUCUCCACUAAUUCAUUUUUCAAUUAAACCAAGAAAGUUUAAAAAGUUCAAUCUUUUUCAAAUUGUGUUGAAAUUGCACUGCUUCUCUAUUACUUGAUUUAUAUAUUUCUGUGGUUUUUAAGGAAACUAGCAACCCCGGCAAUCGGGUUAUUUGAGAGUACAAUCGUCUUGGAUUAGAAGGGGCUUAAAUAUAUAUAUUUUUCAGUUAUUAAUGUAAGAAAAAAAUUAUAUAUAAACUUUAAUUUAAUGUGCAAUUGUAUAUAACAACCCAUGCAUACUAUCGUUUCUCUGUUAGUUCUACACUAAAAACAUAUAAUUUCCAAAAUAAAGCUAUGAGCUUUGUCUCUAAAUACAUUGAGUUGUUCUACACUCAAUGUCGAGCUUUGUAGAGUUUAGGAGGGAUUUUAAAUUACUUAGAGAUAAAUUUUCAAUGAAUUGUACUUGAGAUGAAUAAUAUGAUUACAAUCUAAUUGAUUCAAGAUGAUCAGUUGAGUUCCACCAUUCAGCUGUGUUACGAACUAUUAAAAAAAUUAUUCAACGUCUUUGGAUGAUUAAGGUGACACAUGUAUUCAAAUAAGGUAAUUGAGAAGUCGAUGGACUGAAAGCAAUGAUAUUUUCAAGGCGUCUAGGCAUGUAUAGUUAUAUGCAACCCUUGGCUAAAUUUCUUUAAAAGUUAUAUGAUUAUUGCUCUGGAAUGACCUGACCCGACUUAAUCCAAUUAUGAUUUUAUCUUUGUUCAUGUAAAAAGAAAGAAAGAAAGAAAAUAAUUGAAGAGAAUACAAAUUAAUUAUGUAAAUCACCGAUAAAAAGAAUCUACUUUUGGACUGAAGAAACUAUAUGGUGGUUGCAUUUCAAUUGGUUGGACAAACUUUGAAAGUGUAAAGGAUUGAAAAGUAGCUAAUAUUAUAAGACAUUUCAACUAAUCUGUGAUCAUCAUUUUCAAUCAACCCAAAAUAUAAAUUUUGGAAUUUUUAUGAAUAUUUUAAAGUUUUGUUGAGAGAUAAAAUUUUUAAGUUUCAAAAUUAAUAGGGAUCAAAUGAGUCUGUUGUAUGAAUUAAUCAAAUUAUUCGAGUUAUUCAAAUUUUAAAAUUUAACUCGAAACUUGACUUAUAAAUAUUUUUAUAUUUUAUAUUUAAUAAUAUAAAACAUAAAAAUUAAAUAUAAAACAUAAAAAAUAUUUAAAUUAAAUAAAAAUUAAAAAAUAAUAUAAAAAUGAAAGUCUUUCUCCAAACUUCACCCAAAAACACUUUAAGAAAAUUUCCACUCCUUGUGUCCAUCAAUCCAUCUCAACCAGCUAACAAAUUUACUAUAAUUUUGUCUUUAUAGUAUGACUUCACUUGUACACAAUGGUUGAAUGUUAUUUUUGUGCAAUCAAAAUUUAGAAAUUUGGAACAAAAAGAUGAGCUCUCUCUCUAAAAAUUCUGAAAAUGAGAAAUCUAUUUCUGAGGAGUUGAUCCCCAAGAAAGUUCGUUUCAGAGGCGAAGAUGUUGAUGCUAACAAUAUUAUGAUGCUAACAAGAUUUAAUAGACUAUAUGUCCUAUUAUUGCGUUUAAAUUGGUAUGAUAACCUAUUUUCGACCAAAGGUCCAUCAAUUGAGCUGAAUUUUAUAUAUGCUGGCCUUCUCAUUGUGGCUAAAAAGGUAGUAAUAUGAAGCACGCAAAGCCUGUUAUAGUAUAGUCCAUGGAGCACUGAUUGUGGGCAGUAGUGGUCGAAGCAUGCAAAAUUAUUGACAUUAUCCUAAACUUUUGUAAAACCAAAACUUAGAAGUGAAAUUCAAUACAAAAUUUCAAUUUUCAAAAUUCAGCAGCCUAUAGCCCUGUGUCGUUGGAUUCAUGUUGUCUGGGAAAUUUCGAGACGGUGUAACAGAAACCAAUCUGGUUUUGACUCUAACGCCAAUGUUGAGGAAACAUGGUCAUGGUGGUGUUGGCGAAUUUAUUGAGUAUUAUGGUUAGGUCUAUGGUCAUAAAUCUUGACAACGGAAUGCUUUACAAUCAAUAAUAUUGGUUUUAAUGUGCGUAUAGGAGAAGGUGUGACUGAUUAGGUAGAUGACAUGUUUUUGGUGCUGAGUAUGUUAACAUUAAUGGAAGACAAUUAAUAAUGGUUGCCAUUAACAUUAAUGGGAGACAAUCAAUAAUGACAACCACCAACUUUGGAAAAGUGGCAAGGGAUAAUUUUUUUUUGGUCCUUGAGAUAAUGGGCUAUUUAUUGUUUGGUCCUUGAACCUCCACUAUAAAUAGGCCUUCUCAUUUCUCAUUUCAAUUCAUCCCAACCAAUCUUUCUCUCUUAGUUUUCUCUCUUCUCCCAUUUGAGAAUUCUUAAGGAAUUCUAUUUGUUUGUAAUAUUUUGGAGAUAGUAAAGUUAUCAUCUGGUGUUAGUGCCCGAGGACGUAGGUAUAAUUUACCGAACCUCGUUAAAACUCUUGUGUUCUUUCUUGUCCUAUUUUUCUUUCAAUAUUUGAGGGUAUAAUAGUACUAUUUAAUUGUGCUAUUAAAUUACUAUAAAAGGGAUAUUCUGACUAAGGAAAGACUUGGUAUUUAAGAGAUCCUUGUGAUCCACCUCUCUUCUCUGGAAAUUGAACUUUGUGUGAUUUUUUAGUACAAUAAUUUACACGCUUCCGACCCUAUUGGAACAACAAGUGGUAUCAGAGCCGAAGGUUAAUCGUAGUAUGCUCUGUGGUUGCAGUUUGAACUGAUCUUCCACAUCAUAAAAGAUUUCCUUAGGUAUAUUGAAAGAUUAUGGAGAAAACGGUCGGUGUAGGAGCUUCAACAUCGUCCAUGUGGACAAGACCGACAAUUGCAAAUGCAAGACUGGCCGUGGAGAUCUUUGAUGGCACGGGCCAUUUUGGUAUGUGGCAAAAUGAGGUUCUAAAUGCCCUUUUUCAGCAGGGUCUAGACAUUGCCAUUGAUGAAGAGAAACUAGAUGAUGUACAGGGUACAGGAGAAAGAUUGGAAAGCGAUCAAUCGGUUGGCAUGUGGCACAAUUCGAUCAUGCCUUUCUUGAGAGCAGAGGUAUGCUUUUUCAAAGGAGACUUUUGCAAAUAAGUUGUGGGUGGCACUUGAAGAAAAUUUUUUGAAGAAAAACAGUCAAAAUAAGCUCCACUUGAAGAAAAGACGUUUCGCUUCACAUACGUCCCAAGUACCACAAUGAAUGAUCACAUCACCAAAUUUAAUCAGUUAGUCAUUGAUUUGCUGAAUAUGGAUGAGACAUUCAAAGAUGAAGAUUUGGCUUUGAUGCUGUUGGGGUCACUUCCUGAGGAGUUUGAGUUCCUAGAAACUACUCUACUUCAUGGCAGGAGUGAUAUAUCUCUGAGCGAAGUCUGUGCGGCCUUAUACAGUUAUGAACAGAGAAAGAAGGACAAACAGAAAAACUCAAUCAGAGAUACAGAAGCUUUAGUAGUCCGAGGUCGUUCAUACACUCAGAAGAAAACUCAAAAGGGGAGAUCAAAGUCAAAGUCCAGACUCGGGAAAGAUGAAUGUGCCUUUUGUCAUGAGAAAGGCCACUGGAAGAAAAAUUGUCCAAAGCUGAAGAAUAAGGGAAAAGCUACUGUAGAUGCUUGUGUUGCAAAGCAUGAUACUAGUGACUCUGAACUAUCACUGGUUGCAUCAUCAUCGUCGUUCUAUUCAGAUGAGUGGAUAUUGGAUUCGGGUUGUACCUUUCAUAUGUCCCCUAACUGGGAGUGGUUCUCUGAUUUUGUAGAACUAAAUGGAGGAGUUGUUUAUAUGGGCAAUGACAAUGCCUGUAAAACUGUUGGGAUAGGUUCAAUCCAAUUAAAGAAUCAAGAUGGAUCAACCAGAGUUCUGACUGAUGUUCGGUACGUGCCCAGUUUGAAGAAAAAUCUCAUCUCAUUGGGAGCCUUGGAAUCCAAUGGUUCAGUUGUUACUAUGAGAGAUGGGGUUUUGAAAGUGACAUCUGGCGCACGUGUGAUAUUGAAGGGCAUCAGGAAAAAUAACUUGUAUUACUACCAAGGUAGUACAGUUAUUGGAGCAGUCGCUGCAGCUUCCGGCAACAAAGAAUUGGACUCAAUACAGUUGUGGCAUAUGAAGUUGGGACAUGCCAACGAAAAAUCCUUGCAAUUUCUGGCAAAGCAAGGAUUGUUGAAAGGUGCAAAGGCUUACAAAUUAAAAUUUUACGAGCAUUGUGUUCUGGGAAAGCAAAAGAGAGUGAAAUUCGGUACUGCUAUCCAUAAUACAAAAGGUAUUUUCGAAUAUGUUCACUCAGAUGUGUGGGGGCCUUCCAAGACACCUUCAUUGGGAGGAAAACACUACUUUGUUACUUUUUUUGAUGACUUUUCCAGAAGAGUUUGGGUGUAUACCAUGAGAACUAAGGAUGAAGUGCUUAGAGUUUUUCUUAAAUGGAAAACUAUGAUCGAAAACCAGACUGGCAAGAAAAUCAAGCGGCUUAGGACGAACAAUGGAGGGGAAUAUAAAAGUGAUCCGUUCUUCGAUGUGUGCCAAGAGUAUGGUAUUGUUCGACACUUCACAGUUAGGGAUACACCACAGCAGAAUGGAGUGGCAGAGCGUAUGAAUCGAACAUUACAGGAGAAAGUUCGAUGUAUGUUGUCCAAUGCUGGGUUGGGCAAGCAAUUUUGGGCUGAGGCUGUGACAUACGCUGGCCAUCUUGUUAAUCGUUUGCCAUCAUCUGCAUUAGAAAGAAAAACUCCUAUGGAGGUAUGGUCUGGAAAACCGGUUACAGAUUAUGAUUCCUUACAUGUGUUUGGAACCACUGCAUAUUACCAUGUAAAGGAGUCAAAGUUAGAUCCGAGGGCAAAGAAAGCUCUCUUUAUGGGAAUCACUUCUGGAGUGAAGGGAUUUCGUCUUUGGUGCUUAAGCACAAAGAAAAUGAUCUGUAGCAGAGAUGUUACCUUUGAUGAAUCUGCCACAUUGAAAAAGGUAGCAGAUAAAGAUAUUCAGACGAGCAAUACUCCACAGCAGGUGGAGUGUACUCCAAAACAGGUGGAGUUUGAGCAGAUGGGGAUUUGCCCAGUUAAUAAGUCUAAUUCUCCAGCCACAAUGGAGGAAUUAGAGGUUGAAGAGGUUCUGACCCAAGAACCACUAAGUACACCAAAACCAGUUGCAGUUGCAAGGCUACGGAGAGAAAUUCGUAAACCUGCUCGAUUUACUGAUAUGGUGGCCUACGCCCUUCCCGUUGUUGAUGAUAUUCCUAUCACUUAUCAAGAAGCAAUGCAAAGCUUAGAAAGUGAUAAAUGGAAAAGCGCCAUGGAUGAAGAAAUGCAGUCUCUCCGGAAGAACAAUACUUGGGAGUUGGCGCAAUUACCGAAAGGUAAAAGGGCAAUCGGAUGCAAGUGGGUAUUCGCAAAGAAAGAUGGAUCUCCUAGCAAGAAGGAUAUUCGCUACAAGGCAAGAUUGGUAGCUAAAGGCUAUGCUCAGAAGGAGGGAAUUGACUACAAUGAUGUAUUUUCCCCUGUUGUGAAGCAUUCCUCCAUUAGAAUUUUGUUGGCCUUGGUAGCACAGUUGAAUUUGGAGCUAGCUCAACUUGAUGUUAAGACGGCUUUCUUGCAUGGUGAGUUAGAAGAGGAGAUCUAUAUGACUCAGCCCGAAGGAUACACAAAUGCUGGUGGUAGAAAUUGAGUUUGUAAGCUUAACAAAUCGUUAUAUGGAUUGAAGCAAUCCCCGAGGCAGUGGUACAAGCGAUUUGAUAGCUUUAUGAGAAGGCAGAAGUACACAAGAAGCAAAUAUGACAAUUGUGUAUAUUUGCAGAAGCUGCAUGACGGAUCUUUGAUUUAUCUACUCUUGUAUGUUGAUGAUAUGUUAAUCGCUUCGAAGAGCCAAAAUGAGAUAGAUAAGCUGAAGGCUCAGUUGAAUCAAGAGUUCGAGAUGAAAGAUCUAAGUGAGGCCAAGAAGAUUCUCUGCAUGGAGAUAAGUAGAGAUAGACAGAGAGGCAAGCUUUGUUUGAAUCAGAAGCAAUAUCUGAAAAAGGUAUUACAAUGUUUUGGUGUAAAUGAAAACACAAAACAUGUAAGUACCCCACUUGCUUCUCAUUUGAAACUUAGUGCUCAAUUAUCUCCGAAGACUGAAGAUGAAAGAGAAUAUAUGGCGAAAGUCCCAUAUGCUAAUGCAGUUGGGAGUUUGAUGUAUGCGAUGGUGUGUACGAGGCCUGACAUUUCACAAGCUGUUGGAGUUGUGAGCAGGUAUAUGCAUGAUCCUGGAAAAGGACAUUGGCAAGCUGUGAAAUGGAUUCUACGGUAUCUUCGAAAAACCAUAGAUGUUGGUUUAAUUUUUGAACAGGAUGAAGCACUUGGUCAGUUUGUAGUUGGAUAUGUUGAUUCCGACUUUGCUGGUGAUUUAGAUAAAUGUCGUUCAACUACGGGGUAUCUGUUUACUCUUGCGAAAGCCCCAGUGAGUUGGAAGUCUACCUUACAGUCUACAGUAGCUGUGUCUACUACAGAGGCAGAAUAUAUGGCAGUUACAGAAGCUGUUAAGGAGGCUAUUUGGCUUAAUGGAUUGUUGAAAGACUUAGGAGUUGUUCAAAGUCACAUAAGUUUAUAUUGUGACAGUCAGAGCGCUAUUCAUUUAGCGAAAAAUCAAGUCUAUCAUUCAAGAACCAAGCAUAUCGACGUAAGAUAUCACUUUGUGCGGGAAGUCUUUGAAAAAGGAAAAAUUCUACUUCAGAAGAUUCCGACAGCAGAUAAUCCCGCAGAUAUGAUGACCAAGGUGGUAACAACAAUCAAGUUUAAUCAUUGUUUGAACUUGAUUAACAUCCUGAGAAUUUGAGCACCUUCAGGUGUAUGGCGCUCGAGAGCGCAUUUGUAGGCACUACAAAAGAUAGCUUUAUCGAAUUUGGGGAGUUGAAGAAAGUGUGUGAAGAUGUGAUUAUCCUAAUCAAAUCUUCAAGGUGGAGAUUGUUAACAUUAAUGGAAGACAAUUAAUAAUGGUUGCCAUUAACAUUAAUGGGAGACAAUCAAUAAUGACAACCACCAACUUUGGAAAAGUGGCAAGGGAUAAUUUUUUUUUGGUCCUUGAGAUAAUGGGCUAUUUAUUGUUUGGUCCUUGAACCUCAACUAUAAAUAGGCCUUCUCAUUUCUCAUUUCAAUUCAUCCCAACCAAUCUUUCUCUCUUAGUUUUCUCUCUUCUCCCAUUUGAGAAUUCUUAAGGAAUUCUAUUUGUUUGUAAUAUUUUGGAGAUAGUAAAGUUAUCAUCUAGUGUUAGUGCCUGAGGACGUAGGUAUAAUUUACCGAACCUCGUUAAAACUCUUGUGUUCUUUCUUGUCCUAUUUUUCUUUCAAUAUUUGAGGGUAUAAUAGUACUAUUUAAUUGUGCUAUUAAAUUACUAUAAAAGGGAUAUUCUGACUAAGGAAAGACUUGGUAUUUAAGAGAUCCUUGUGAUCCACCUCUCUUCUCUGGGAAUUGAACUUUGUGUGAUUUUUUAGUACAAUAAUUUACACGCUUCCGACCCUAUUGGAACAACAGAGUAGGGUAGGCAACCACUUCAACCAUUAUUGCAAGUGAAGUUAGAACAAAAAUAUCCGUUGAAUUAUCAUCUUUGUUCAUUCUACGUGUAAUCAUGGCUCUAAUGACGUUUAAAGGACAUUAUUAUUGCUAUAAUUUUAUUUUUUAAUGAUUUAAAUUUAAGAAAAAUAAAAUUAGAAAAUUAUUUAUAUAGAAUAAAGAGUCGACAAGAAGAUUGAAACCUGGCAUGAAUAAGAAGAAUAAGAGUUCAACAAAGUGGUUCAACAUAGUUUUCAUGCAUUAAUGAUAUGGCAAAAAGACUUUUAACAUUUGCAUCUGCAUGCAAUGCCAACCACUAAGAUUAAAGCCAAUAAUAUCUCAUAUUAUCAUUUUUUUAUAAGUAUUAAAAUUUUCUUGUAUCAACGAUAAUGUUUAUAUAUGUUCAAGGAAUCAAUUUUAUAUCAUUUUUGGGUCUUAUACCAAAUUUUACUUAAAAAAUUCAAUAGUAAAUUGUUUUAUUAAAAAAUUACCAUUAUUUCUUUUUUUUUAAUGACCUUUCUUAAUCAAAUUGGUACUACAUCAUCAUCAUCAUUAUUAUUGGCAUGCAGUUAUAAAGACUUAGAAUUUUGCAUGCAUAUCAAAGACUUAGAAAUUUCCACUACUUGAUAUUUUAAUGACUUGAAUUAAACAAAGUGGUUGAACAUUACUUUCAUGCAAUUAGGGGUGAGUGUUCGAUCUAAUGGAAUCGAAUUGAAAAAUUUCGAGUUAAUCAAGUUGACGAAUCAUAUUUUAUCAUCCUAAUUUAAUUUGAAAUUUUCUGGAAUCAAGUCGAAUGAGAUGGAAUUCGUUCGAGUCAAAUUUUAAAAAAUAAUUUUGGGUCGUUGUAACCACUGUCACCCACCGUAAUAAAAUUUGUCUACCAUAAUCAAAUUUUUUAUUAACUUUCAUCACCUCAUAAUUUAUAUUUUAAUCUUUUAUAUAUGUGUUAGCUUCUUUGUUUGCUUAGUUGUUUCAAUUAUCUUCAGAUUCUUGUCACUACGUAUUUUGGAAUUAAAAAAAUAUAUUAAAUGUAAAAUGUGAUUUUUUUAAUAAAAGUUAUUUUAAAGAUAAAAUGUGAAAUUGAUACCAAUAUAAAAUUUUAACAUGAAUAUUUUAUGGCAUCAUUAAUAAUUCAAAUUUAAUAUAAAUAUUCAAUAUUACUAAACAAUUCAAUAAUAUAAUAAUAUAAAAUGUGAAAUUUAAUUUAAUAAUAUAAAUAGCAGAUAUAAAUAAAAGUAUUACUAUUUAUGUUUAAGAGAUUUUUUUGGAUAAUUUUAAUUUUUUUUAUUUGGGAGUAAAGGGUGAGAAGUAAAAGUUUUGGGGAAAAAUAAAAAGUUUUGGGGAGUAAAAGUUUGAGGGAAAGUAAAUGAGCUGGAUAUACAAUGCUGAAUGAGUUGGGAAACAAAUGGGUUGAUAAGUUCAAAAUGUGUGGGAAAAGAAAUAGAAGAAGAUGUAGGUGACUCCCAUCAGAAUUCUUGUUUCAAAUUUAGCCGGUAGGCAUUAUUUAUUUAUUUUGAAUAUAUAUACAUAUAUAAAGGAAACAAAAAAAAAAGAAAAAAAAUCAAAACUUUCUUACCUUUUCCGACAGUGAUCGGUAGAUCUCAGCUUGGGAGGCCGAUAGAGAGACGAAAGAAAAAAAUAAAAUUUUUAUUUUUUCCGGCCAGCGUGAACGACGGCGCCGUCAGCGGUCAAUAAACUCUUUAAUCCUAUUUGGUUUGAAAAAAUAGAUAUAUUUUGGAAGUAGUUUUUUGAAAGAAAUGAAAAGCGUCCAACACAUCUCCACUAAUUCAUUUUUCAUUUAAACCAAGAAAGUUUAAAAAGUUCAAUCUUUUUCAAAUUGUGUUGAAAUUGCACUGCUUCUCUAUUACUUGAUUUAUAUAUUUCUGUGGUUUUUAUGCAUCAUCACUAACAGCUUUAAAUAAUAAAUUAUUAUCCCUUGCUUUAAUAUGUUGGAAAAAGUUGACUAAAAAGACUUAACUGAAGUGGUGGAACAGUAUUUUGAUGGACUAUUGAUUUGGCAAAAUGACUUAGAAAUUGCAUGCAAUGCCAAUCACCCAUAAAUAUUGUUCUAUGGAAACUACACAUUUGUGUAUAAAUAUGUUGUAUGCCAGACACAAUCCUCCUUCACACCCACCCAACAUGAACACUCUUCAUUCCCUUAUUUCUUCACUCUUUCUCUCCUCAUGCUUCCUUCCUCUUCUCUUGUCUUUUUCACCUCCUCAAACUCAUCUCCCAAUGCAAUGCCUUGAUGACCAGAGAGCUCCUCUGCUGCAAUUGCAGCAUCAUCUUUACUAUGCCCCUAAUUUUACUUUCUCUUCCAAAUUUGACCUCUGGGACCCCAACACUGAUUGUUGUUCUUGGGAAGGAGUCACUUGUGAUGCUUAUGGCCAUGUCGUUGGCAUUGGUCUUAGUUACAAAAACCUUUCAGGCAGCUUCCACUCCAUAUUCGAUCUCCAUCAUCUUCAACACCUUAAUCUUGCUGGAAACAACUUUAAUACCACUCUGUUUUCCUAUGGGUUUGAUAAACUCCAAAAUCUAACUCAUCUCAACCUUUCAAGCUCAUGUUUCCAUGGCCAAAUUCCAGUGGAGAUCUCAUUCUUAAAAAGGUUAGUCUCUCUUGAUCUAUCCAAUCAAUAUUCCUGUUAUUUGCGAUACUACACCAUUCUUGACCCAUAUAGAGGCGUCUACUACUACUAUCCAUUGCCUUACGAACUUCAACAGCCUCUUAAAUUAGAGAAUCCAAACUUCAAGACAUUAAUCAAGAAUUUGAGGUUUCUCACAGAGCUUUAUUUGGAUGGGGUAAACAUUUCAUCUCAAAGUGCUAAAUGGUGUGAAACCACAUCUCUUGUACUUUCCAACCUGCGUGUGUUGAGUCUGUCAAACUGUGGCUUGAAAGGUCCAUUAUGUUCUUCACUCUCAAGACUCUCUUUUCUUUCCAAACUUAUCCUUGAUUGGAACCCAAUCUCUUAUUUACCUCCCAAUUUCUUGGAAAUUUCCUCUCGUUUGGUUUCUCUCAGUUUGAGGAACUGCAAUUUGAAUGGGCAAUUUCCAACCGGAAUUCUCUUAUUGCCACAAAUUCAAAGCGUUGACAUUUCAUUGAAUGACCAACUUAUGGGUCAGUUGCCAGAAUUUCCAGCAAACAAUGCUUUACAGAGUUUGUCGCUUUUUUAUACAAAUUUCAGUGGAAAACUACCUCAAUCAAUUGGUAAUCUCAAAUUCUUGACUAAUUUGAAGCUGUUUAGUUGCAAUUUUUUUGGACCCAUUCCAUCGUCAAUUGCAAAUCUUAGUCACCUGGUGAACUUGGAUCUAAGUUCAAACAAGCUUUCUGGAUCAAUACAUUCUUCUUUAUUUACUCUUCCAUCGUUGAAGAUCUUGUGUCUUGGAGACAAUCAAUUGGUUGGGAAAAUUGAUGAGUUCCCCAAUGCAUCUUCUUCUUUGAUUCAAGAAUUACAUAUAGGCAAUAAUUAUUUAACAGGAACAAUCCCGAAGUCAAUCCUCCAACUUCCAAGGCUUGAAGGGCUUUAUAUCGGAGGCAAUAGCUUCAGUUCCAUGAAGCUUGACAUGUUUGUCCAACUUAAGAACUUAAAGGAUCUCGAAUUAUCCAAAGUAAGUUUGUUAAUUGAAAGCGACAACAGAAGUCUUACUUUUCCCCAAUUAGAGACCCUAUGGCUAAUGUCAUGCAACCUUACUGAAUUUCCAGAAUUCAUUAAAAGGCAAGACAAGUUGGUUGACUUAGAUCUUUCUAACAAUCAUAUCCAUGGUGUUGUGCCUAAUUGGUUGUGGAAGAGCAGCCUUUCAUCCUUACACCUUUCUUUCAAUGUGAUUGAUUUUCCAAAACAACUUACUUUAAGUGAUUCAAACUUCUCUUUCCCAAUGUUGAGGGAAUUGUCUCUGGAAUCUUGUAACUUAAGCGCAUUUCCGGAGUUCUUAAAGAGUCAAGAAAAUAUAGGACAUCUUGAACUUUCAAAUAAUAAAAUAAGUGGUGCAAUACCAAACUGGGUGUGGAAGAAAAGUUUGCGUGUUCUCAAUCUUGCAAAUAACCAUAUCUCAUCUUUGGACCAACUUUUACCCAAUCAGAGUUCAACUUCUUCACAAACCUCCUUGGCUAGACCUAUUUGCAAUUUGAGUCAACUUAUAAAUUUCAAUGCAUCUCAUAACAAUUUGAGCGGCAAGAUUCCAAAUUGCUUAGGCAAAAUGAAUGAUCUCUGUUUGUUGGAUCUGCAAGGAAAUAACUUCAGUGGAAUGUUACCAAAAUUUUCAAAAGCAACCCACUUAUAUAUUCUCAAAGUUAGUGAGAAUAGAUUGGAAGGGAAGUUGCCCAGAUCAUUAGCUGAAUGCACUCAGCUUGAAGUUUUGGACGUGGGAAACAACAAGAUGAAUGAUACGUUCCCUUUUUGGUUGGAGAAAUUGCCUUACUUGACGGUUCUAAUAUUGCGGGAAAACAGAUUUUAUGGUCAAAUUAAACAUAGAUUUGUUUUCCCAACUUUGGAUGUGUUGGACAUUGCUUCAAACCAGUUUUCUGGUGAACUAUCCAUUGAUUUCCUUCAAGCCACUCGACUAAGGUCACUCAAAAUAGGUGGGAAUAAAUUAGAAGGGAAGUUGUCGAGAUCAUUAGCCAAUUGUAAAGCACUUGAGGUUCUGGACCUUGGAAAUAAUAUGGUUCAUGAUACAUUCCCAUUUUGGUUAGAGAAGCUGCCUUCCUUGAAGGUUCUCAUUUUACGAGCAAACAGAUUCUACGGCACAAUUACAAAAUUCGACACGAAACAUGGGUUUCCAAAGCUACGCAUAUUGGACAUUGCUUCCAACAAUUUUUCAGGCGACUUGUCCAUUGAAUUUUUUGCAAAGCUUGAAGGCAAUGAUGCAGUUAACAAAUGACGACAAAGCUAAGCUGGAUUACAUUGGAGAGAAUUAUUAUCAAGAUUCAGUGACAAUUUUCAACAAAGGGAUUGAGCUGUUUUACGAGAAAAUCUUAACCACUCUUACUUGUCUUGACCUUUCCAACAAUAGUUUCCAUGGGAGAAUAUCAGAAGAAAUACAAAUGCUGAGGUCACUCAAAGUGCUAAACUUGUCCUAUAAUAGCUUCUCCGGUGAAAUCCCAGUAGCAUUUGAAAACCUAAAAGAUCUCGAGUCUUUGGAUCUCUCACAGAAUGAGCUGUCAGGGAAGAUUCCUCCACAUCUUACAAGUUUAACUUUCUUAGCGGCAUUGAACUUGUCUUACAACCAACUUGAAGGGAGCAUACCACAAAGCAACCAAUUCAUUACAUUUACAAAUGAUUCCUACCGUGGGAACCCAAAAUUGUGUGGGCUGCCAUUGUCAAGGAAAUGCAAUGAAGUCGGUCUUCCAGUGGCACCACCUCCACGGCGAGAUGAAGAAUCAUGGUUAUAUGCUAUGUCUACUUGGAAAAUUGCGUUGAUAGGUUAUACUAGUGGAUUAGUCGUUGGGCUAUGUAUUGGAUAUACAGUGCUGAAUGAGUUGGGAAACAAAUGGGUUGACAAGUUCAAAAAGCGUGGGAAAAGAAAUAGAAGAAGAUGUAGGUGACUGGAUCAGAAUUCUUGCUUCAUAAUUAGCUGGUAAGCAUUUGUCUUU
RNAcentral lists this long non-coding RNA (19593 nucleotides) under Gossypium barbadense (sea-island cotton). Its description in RNAcentral is "long non-coding RNA (GBAR_LNC023190)". The record is from RNAcentral. Lineage: Eukaryota; Viridiplantae; Streptophyta; Magnoliopsida; Malvales; Malvaceae.